UCGAGAAUUUUUCUCAAUGGGCGAAAGCCUGAAGGAGCGACGCCGCGUGGGGGAUGAAUGGCUUCGGCCCGUAAACCCCUGUCAUUUGCGAACAAAUUGAUUCACCUAACACGUGAAGCAUUGAUUGUAGCAGAAGAGGAAGGGACGGCUAACUCUGUGCCAGCAGCCGCGGUAAUACAGAGGUCCCAAGCGUUGUUCGGAUUCACUGGGCGUAAAGGGUGCGUAGGCGGUCGGGUAAGUCUGUUGUGAAAUCUCCGAGCUUAACUCGGAAACUGCAGUGGAUACUAUCCGGCUCGAGGAAUGGAGGGGAGACUGGAAUACUUGGUGUAGCAGUGAAAUGCGUAGAUAUCAAGUGGAACACCAGUGGCGAAGGCGAGUCUCUGGACAUUUCCUGACGCUGAGGCACGAAAGCCAGGGGAGCAAACGGG
This 428-nucleotide ribosomal RNA is filed under the name uncultured bacterium. RNAcentral's name for it is "bacterial SSU rRNA". It matches the Rfam family "Bacterial small subunit ribosomal RNA", at positions 355 to 776 of the family's 1533-position model. The record is from RNAcentral.